CAGCCGCCGCGGUAAUACGAAGGGUGCAAGCGUUACUCGGAAUUACUGGGCGUAAAGCGUGCGUAGGCGGUUUGUUAAGUCUGCUGUGAAAUCCCCGGGCUCAACCUGGGAAUGGCAGUGGAUACUGGCAAGCUAGAGUGUGUCAGAGGAUGGUGGAAUUCCCGGUGUAGCGGUGAAAUGCGUAGAGAUCGGGAGGAACAUCAGUGGCGGAGGCGGCCAUCUGGGACAACACUGAUGCUGAGGCACGAAAGCGUGGGGAGCAAACAGGAUUAGAGACCCCCGUAGUCCCUGUCUCUUAUAA
This 301-nucleotide ribosomal RNA is filed under the name uncultured bacterium. Its description in RNAcentral is "partial 16S ribosomal RNA". It matches the Rfam family "Bacterial small subunit ribosomal RNA", at positions 509 to 809 of the family's 1533-position model. The record is from RNAcentral.